This 633-nucleotide ribosomal RNA is filed under the name Scarelus longicornis. RNAcentral's name for it is "eukaryotic LSU rRNA". It matches the Rfam family "Eukaryotic large subunit ribosomal RNA", at positions 670 to 1259 of the family's 3401-position model. Lineage: Eukaryota; Metazoa; Arthropoda; Insecta; Coleoptera; Lycidae. The record is from RNAcentral. RNAcentral also lists the same sequence under 1 other name.
GGAGUCUAGCACGUGCGCGAGUCAUUGGGACUAGCGAAACCUAAAGGCGCAAUGAAAGUGAAGGUCGGCCUCGCGCCGACCGAGGGAGGAUGGGCCGCGCUCCGGCGCGGCCCCGCACUCCCGGGGCGUCUCGUUCUCAUCGCGAGAAGAGGCGCACCCAGAGCGUACGCGCUGGGACCCGAAAGAUGGUGAACUAUGCCUGGUCAGGACGAAGUCAGGGGAAACCCUGAUGGAGGUCCGAAGCGAUUCUGACGUGCAAAUCGAUCGUCGGAACUGGGUAUAGGGGCGAAAGACUAAUCGAACCAUCUAGUAGCUGGUUCCCUCCGAAGUUUCCCUCAGGAUAGCUGGCGCUCGCUUUUGCGAGUCUCAUCUGGUAAAGCGAAUGAUUAGAGGCAUUGGGGUCGAAACGGCCUCAACCUAUUCUCAAACUUUAAAUGGGUGAGAUCUCCGGCUUGCUCGAAACGCAUCGGUGAAGCCGCGAGAUCGGAUCAGAGUGCCAAGUGGGCCAUUUUUGGUAAGCAGAACUGGCGCUGUGGGAUGAACCAAACGCAGAGUUAAAGCUCCCAAAUCUACGCUUAUGGGAUACCAUGAAAGGCGUUGGUAACUUAAGACAGCAGGACGGUGGCCAUGGAA